Molecule: ribosomal RNA, 253 nt
Filed under: uncultured prokaryote
Description: partial 16S ribosomal RNA
Rfam family: Bacterial small subunit ribosomal RNA
Source: RNAcentral
UACGUAGGGUGCGAGCGUUAAUCGGAAUUACUGGGCGUAAAGGGCGCGUAGGCGGCCUUCUAAGUCGAACGUGAAAUCCCCGGGCUCAACCCGGGAACUGCGUCCGAUACUGGAAGGCUUGAAUCCGGGAGAGGGAUGCGGAAUUCCAGGUGUAGCGGUGAAAUGCGUAGAUAUCUGGAGGAACACCGGUGGCGAAGGCGGCAUCCUGGACCGGCAUUGACGCUGAGGCGCGAGAGCCAGGGGAGCCAACGGG